GGUGAACGCUGGCGGCGUGCCUAAUACAUGCAAGUCGAGCGAACAGACGAGGAGCUUGCUCCUUUGACGUUAGCGGCGGACGGGUGAGUAACACGUGGGUAACCUACCUAUAAGACUGGGAUAACUUCGGGAAACCGGAGCUAAUACCGGAUAAUAUUUCGAACCGCAUGGUUCGAUAGUGAAAGAUGGCUUUGCUAUCACUUAUAGAGGGACCUGCGCCGUAUUAGCUAGUUGGUAAGGUAACGGCUUACCAAGGCAACGAUACGUAGCCGACCUGAGAGGGUGAUCGGCCACACUGGAACUGAGACACGGUCCAGACUCCUACGGGAGGCAGCAGUAGGGAAUCUUCCGCAAUGGGCGAAAGCCUGACGGAGCAACGCCGCGUGAGUGAUGAAGGUCUUCGGAUCGUAAAACUCUGUUAUUAGGGAAGAACAAACGUGUAAGUAACUGUGCACGUCUUGACGGUACCUAAUCAGAAAGCCACGGCUAACUACGUGCCAGCAGCCGCGGUAAUACGUAGGUGGCAAGCGUUAUCCGGAAUUAUUGGGCGUAAAGCGCGCGUAGGCGGUUUUUUAAGUCUGGUGUGAAAGCCCACGGCUCAACCGUGGAGGGUCAUUGGAAACUGGAAAACUUGAGUGCAGAAGAGGAAAGUGGAAUUCCAUGUGUAGCGGUGAAAUGCGCAGAGAUAUGGAGGAACACCAGUGGCGAAGGCGACUUUCUGGUCUGUAACUGACGCUGAUGUGCGAAAGCGUGGGGAUCAAACAGGAUUAGAUACCCUGGUAGUCCACGCCGUAAACGAUGAGUGCUAAGUGUUAGGGGGUUUCCGCCCCUUAGUGCUGCAGCUAACGCAUUAAGCACUCCGCCUGGGGAGUACGACCGCAAGGUUGAAACUCAAAGGAAUUGACGGGGACCCGCACAAGCGGUGGAGCAUGUGGUUUAAUUCGAAGCAACGCGAAGAACCUUACCAAAUCUUGGCAUCCUUUGACCCUUCUAGAGAUAGAAGUUUCCCCUUCGGGGGACAAAGUGACAGGUGGUGCAUGGUUGUCGUCAGCUCGUGUCGUGAGAUGUUGGGUUAAGUCCCGCAACGAGCGCAACCCUUAAGCUUAGUUGCCAUCAUUAAGUUGGGCACUCUAAGUUGACUGCCGGUGACAAACCGGAGGAAGGUGGGGAUGACGUCAAAUCAUCAUGCCCCUUAUGAUUUGGGCUACACACGUGCUACAAUGGACAAUACAAAGGGCAGCGAAACCGCGAGGUCAAGCAAAUCCCAUAAAGUUGUUCUCAGUUCGGAUUGUAGUCUGCAACUCGACUACAUGAAGCUGGAAUCGCUAGUAAUCGUAGAUCAGCAUGCUACGGUGAAUACGUUCCCGGGUCUUGUACACACCGCCCGUCACACCACGAGAGCUUGUAACACCCGAAGCCGGUGGAGUAACCAUUUGGAGCUAGCCGUCGAAGGUGGGACAAGUGAUUGGGGUGAAGUCGUAACAAGGUAGCCGUAUCGGAAGG
RNAcentral lists this ribosomal RNA (1503 nucleotides) under uncultured bacterium. RNAcentral describes it as "bacterial SSU rRNA". It matches the Rfam family "Bacterial small subunit ribosomal RNA". The record is from RNAcentral.